AUUCAUACAAUGAGAUGAAGGUGUUUAAUGUCUUCUUUUUUAUAUUUAUAAUUUAAUACCAUAGUAGGUGUUGAGGGUUGCCUUCAAACUCCAAUUCAUGGAAAACGUGCCCUCGAGCAAUGUCCAAAGUGCGAGAAAAAUUAAGAUGAGGCAUCAAAAUCAUGCAAUCUAAAAGCCUGACAUUGCCAGAGUUGAUGCAAAUAUCAAAGAAAGGAUAUUAUAAAUAGCCUCAUUUGACGACUCAAAAAGGAGAAGAGCUUGACACCACAUUGAUAUGAGGAUCUUUCGUGCAAGUAAGCUCAGAAAGCGAGAUCAGACUAAGAGAAGUGAGUUGGAGGUCAAGUCAAUGAGGGGCUUACAACAACGAUGAACACGUGUAAGAUCUGCACCUCAACAAUAGAUGCUAUACCAUAAACUAAGAAAUUUUUUCAUGGAUAACCAAAAUAUAGUUAUGCUAAUGUUAAAUGACCUAAAAACAAUGAAAACUAACAUUUUGCUUAAGUAAAAAUUAACCAACCAACGUUGAAUUCUUCCUUGUAGCCCAUUCACAAUCGUUGGUUUGCACCCAUCGCGAAUUAAUGAGACUCCAAAUGCGAUUACAAGGUGCUAUCACAAAGUUAGUUUUCAUUAUUUUAUAUAGUUUAGGUCAUUUGACAUUACCAAAAUCAGAAUUUUGUCAUUUGGACAAAACUCUCAUAAAUUGAUGGUAGAGACAUCUUUUAAGAUCUAUUGAAAGUAUAACCCAAUUUAGGAAUUUAGAAGUGUAAGAGACUAAAAUCUUGGAAGUUGUAAUGCACAAUACCAAAAGAAAUAUUUUGGCCUUAAUCAAACCCAUGUUGUACCGCUAAAAACACAGCGUUAAGCUAAAGAAUGAGAAAUUGACCUUGCUUAAUCAGUCGGGAAAGGAUUUUUUUUUUUUUACCCCUUUUCUCCCUAAAUAGGAAGGGAAUCAUUUUGGGGAAAAAAUAACCUCUUCAAUAUAAAGAAAAAUAUUUUUUUUAAAAAAAAAUAUGAUCAUAUUAAAUAUAAUUUUAAAUGUUU
Molecule: non-coding RNA, 1041 nt
Organism: Benincasa hispida (wax gourd)
Lineage: Eukaryota; Viridiplantae; Streptophyta; Magnoliopsida; Cucurbitales; Cucurbitaceae
Source: RefSeq, a predicted model, not a curated record